RNAcentral lists this unclassified non-coding RNA (285 nucleotides) under plant metagenome. Its description in RNAcentral is "partial contains small subunit ribosomal RNA, internal transcribed spacer 1, and 5.8S ribosomal RNA". The stretch from base 1 to 54 matches the Rfam family "Eukaryotic small subunit ribosomal RNA", at positions 1778 to 1831 of the family's 1831-position model. The record is from RNAcentral.
GGAAGUAAAAGUCGUAACAAGGUUUCCGUAGGUGGACCUGCGGAAGGAUCAUUAUUGUAUAACCGAGGUGCGAGGGCUGUCGCUGACCCGAAAGGUCGUGCACGCCCGAGUGCCCUCACACACAUCCAUCUCACCCCUAUGUGCACCACCGCGUGGGUCCCCCUUUGGCUUGUUCGGAGGGGGGCUUACGUUUUCACACAAACUUUGUAUGCAGUGUAGAAUGUAUUUUUUGUUUUUGCGAUCACGCAAUCAAUACAACUUUCAACAACGGAUCUCUUGGCUCUG